RNAcentral lists this ribosomal RNA (253 nucleotides) under uncultured bacterium. RNAcentral describes it as "partial 16S ribosomal RNA". It matches the Rfam family "Bacterial small subunit ribosomal RNA", at positions 524 to 776 of the family's 1533-position model. The record is from RNAcentral.
UACGAAGGGGGCUAGCGUUGUUCGGAAUUACUGGGCGUAAAGCGCGCGCAGGCGGUUCUUCAAGUCAGAGGUGAAAGCCCAGAGCUCAACUCUGGAAUGGCCUUUGAGACUAGAGAACUUGGGUACGGGAGAGGUGAGUGGAAUUCCGAGUGUAGAGGUGAAAUUCGUAGAUAUUCGCAAGAACACCAGUGGCGAAGGCGGCUCACUGGCCCGAUACUGACGCUGAGGCACGAAAGCGUGGGGAGCAAACAGG